Molecule: ribosomal RNA, 406 nt
Filed under: uncultured bacterium
Lineage: Bacteria
Description: partial 16S ribosomal RNA
Rfam family: Bacterial small subunit ribosomal RNA
Source: RNAcentral
AUUGAACGCUGGCGGCAGGCCUAACACAUGCAAGUCGAACGAGUGGCGGACGGGUGAGUAAUGUCUGGGAAACUGCCCGAUGGAGGGGGAUAACUACUGGAAACGGUAGCUAAUACCGCAUACCAUCGGAUGUGCCCAGAUGGGAUUAGCUAGUAGGUGGGGUAACGGCUCACCUAGGCGACGAGCCCUCGCUGGGCUGAGAGGAUGACCAGCCACACUGGAAAUGAGACACGGUCCAGACUCUGAAGGGAGGCAGCAGUGGGGAAUAGUGCACAAUGGGCGCAAGCCUGAUGCAGCCAUGCCGCGUGUAUGAAGAAGGCCUUCGGGUUGUAAAGUACUUUCAGCGGGGAGGCGUUACCCGCAGAAGAAGCACCGGCUAACUCCGUGCCAGCCGCCGCGGUAAUAC